Molecule: ribosomal RNA, 238 nt
Filed under: Escherichia coli
Lineage: Bacteria; Pseudomonadati; Pseudomonadota; Gammaproteobacteria; Enterobacterales; Enterobacteriaceae
Also listed under: 1 other name
Description: partial 23S ribosomal RNA
Rfam family: Bacterial large subunit ribosomal RNA
Source: RNAcentral
CGAGAGGACCGGAGUGGACGCAUCACUGGUGUUCGGGUUGUCAUGCCAAUGGCACUGCCCGGUAGCUAAAUGCGGAAGAGAUAAGUGCUGAAAGCAUCUAAGCACGAAACUUGCCCCGAGAUGAGUUCUCCCUGACUCCUUGAGAGUCCUGAAGGAACGUUGAAGACGACGACGUUGAUAGGCCGGGUGUGUAAGCGCAGCGAUGCGUUGAGCUAACCGGUACUAAUGAACCGUGAGG